CUAAAUUUAAAGCUUGGGUCACUUGGUGCCUUGUGUAAGGGUUGCAGGGAUUGUGGUCUGCUGAAUUUCAAAUUUAGUAAAGUCAUAGCUAAAAAGGGAAGAGACUUCUAUGAUAAGAGUUUUUGCUAAGUGUUGUGUUAUUGAAAACACAUGCCCCAAUUUUAACAGGCUUUUUUUUUUUUUUUGCUGCUGCUGCUGCUGUUUGGAGUGUGGUUUACAGAAACAUCACAGGGAAAUGAAGAGAAGGAAUUUUCCCAUAUAUGAAACAAUAUUGCCUCUGUAAAGUCUGUGUUUCUGUGUACAGAGCUGGGUUAGCAAUCUGCCUCCUAGUCCCAGAUGAUUGUAAACAAGCCUCUGUGUAUGCCUCCAGUAUAUUUUCUUCAGAGAGUUGGAGCAGCCUCCAGCACAGAAAUUUCAGCCAGUGUUAUUGCCUGUCAGUUCUAAUCCCUCAGAAUUUCAGCCAGCAAGGGUAUAAUAAGGUAAGUUUUGUCUUUUCAAA
RNAcentral lists this long non-coding RNA (499 nucleotides) under Cyanistes caeruleus (blue tit). RNAcentral describes it as "lncRNA (ENSCCEG00000022736.1)". Lineage: Eukaryota; Metazoa; Chordata; Aves; Passeriformes; Paridae. The record is from RNAcentral.